GACGAACGCUGGCGGCGUGCUUAACACAUGCAAGUCGAACGGAAAGGCCCCUUUGGGGGUACUCGAGUGGCGAACGGGUGAGUAACACGUGAGUAACCUGCCCUUGACUUCGGGAUAACUUCAGGAAACUGGGGCUAAUACCGGAUAGGAAUCCUUGCUGCAUGGUGGGGGUUGGAAAGCUUCGGCGGUUUUGGAUGGACUCGGGGCUUAUCAGCUUGUUGGUGGGGUAGUGGCUUACCAAGGCUUUGACGGGUAGCCGGCCUGAGAGGGCGACCGGCCACAUUGGGACUGAGAUACGGCCCAGACUCCUACGGGAGGCAGCAGUGGGGAAUAUUGCACAAUGGGCGGAAGCCUGAUGCAGCAACGCCGCGUGCGGGAUGACGGCCUUCGGGUUGUAAACCGCUUUCAGCAGGGGCGAAGCUUGUGGUGACGGUACCUGCAGAAGAAGCACCGGCUAACUACGUG
RNAcentral lists this ribosomal RNA (465 nucleotides) under uncultured bacterium. RNAcentral's name for it is "partial 16S ribosomal RNA". It matches the Rfam family "Bacterial small subunit ribosomal RNA", at positions 28 to 507 of the family's 1533-position model. The record is from RNAcentral.